RNAcentral lists this ribosomal RNA (385 nucleotides) under uncultured Streptococcus sp. Its description in RNAcentral is "bacterial SSU rRNA". It matches the Rfam family "Bacterial small subunit ribosomal RNA", at positions 996 to 1382 of the family's 1533-position model. Lineage: Bacteria; Bacillati; Bacillota; Bacilli; Lactobacillales; Streptococcaceae. The record is from RNAcentral.
CUAUUUCUAGAGAUGAAAGUUACUUCGGUACAUCGGUGACAGGUGGUGCAUGGUUGUCGUCAGCUCGUGUCGUGAGAUGUUGGGUUAAGUCCCGCAACGAGCGCAACCCCUAUUGUUAGUUGCCAUCAUUCAGUUGGGCACUCUAGCGAGACUGCCGGUAAUAAACCGGAGGAAGGUGGGGAUGACGUCAAAUCAUCAUGCCCCUUAUGACCUGGGCUACACACGUGCUACAAUGGUUGGUACAACAAGUUGCGAGUCGGUGACGGCGAGCUAAUCUCUUAAAGCCAAUCUCAGUUCGGAUUGUAGGCUGCAACUCGCCUACAUGAAGUCGGAAUCGCUAGUAAUCGCGGAUCAGCACGCCGCGGUGAAUACGUUCCCGGGCCUU